AGAGUUUGAUCAUGGCUCAGGAUGAACGCUAGCUACAGGCUUAACACAUGCAAGUCGAGGGGAAACGACAUCGAAAGCUUGCUUUUGGAUGGGCGUCGACCGGCGCACGGGUGAGUAACGCGUAUCCAACCUGCCCACCACUUGGGGAUAACCUUGCGAAAGUAAGACUAAAUACCAAUGACCGUCUACUAGAAGACUAUACUGAAGGAAGAAUUAAAGAUUUAUCGGUGAUGGAGUGGGGAUGCGUCUGAUUAG
This 255-nucleotide ribosomal RNA is filed under the name uncultured bacterium. RNAcentral describes it as "partial 16S ribosomal RNA". It matches the Rfam family "Bacterial small subunit ribosomal RNA", at positions 8 to 244 of the family's 1533-position model. The record is from RNAcentral.